This 411-nucleotide unclassified non-coding RNA is filed under the name soil metagenome. RNAcentral's name for it is "partial contains 5.8S ribosomal RNA, internal transcribed spacer 2, and large subunit ribosomal RNA". The stretch from base 1 to 122 matches the Rfam family "5.8S ribosomal RNA", at positions 35 to 154 of the family's 154-position model. The record is from RNAcentral.
GAUGAAGAACGCAGCGAAAUGCGAUACUUGGUGUGAAUUGCAGAAUCCCGUGAACCAUCGAGUCUUUGAACGCAAGUUGCGCCCGAAGCCGUCAGGCCGAGGGCACGCCUGCCUGGGCGUCACACGCCGUUGCCCCCCCGCGCCCCGCACCCAACUCUUUGGGAGCGACCGCGGGGCGGGCUGAUGAUGGCCUCCCGUGCGCUCCGCCGCGCGGUUGGCCCAAAUACCGAGUCCCCGGCGACGUGCGCCGCGACGAUCGGUGGUUGAGAGACCUCUGUCGCAAGUCGUGCGCGCCCGUCGCGUCACGCGGGCUCGCAUAGCGCCUCGCGCCGCACCCGGUGCGGAGCUUUCAACGCGACCCCAGGUCAGGCGGGGUUACCCGCUGAAUUUAAGCAUAUCAAUAAGGGAGGA